GAACGUAUGGCUUAGUGGUCAGAGCGCUUUGACAGUUUCCAAGAGGUGUGGAUUGAAAUCCUGCUACGUUCA
Molecule: transfer RNA, 72 nt
Filed under: Heliconius melpomene (postman butterfly)
Lineage: Eukaryota; Metazoa; Arthropoda; Insecta; Lepidoptera; Nymphalidae
Description: tRNA HMEL011061
Rfam family: tRNA
About the family: Transfer RNA (tRNA) molecules are approximately 80 nucleotides in length. Their secondary structure includes four short double-helical elements and three loops (D, anti-codon, and T loops).
Source: RNAcentral